Molecule: ribosomal RNA, 279 nt
Filed under: uncultured bacterium
Lineage: Bacteria
Description: partial 16S ribosomal RNA
Rfam family: Archaeal small subunit ribosomal RNA
Source: RNAcentral
UGCCAGCAGCCGCGGUAAUACCGGCGCCUCAAGUGGUAGUCGCUUUUAUUGGGCCUAAAACGUCCGUAGCCGGUCUGGUACAUUCGUGGGUAAAUCAACUCGCUCAACGAGUUGAAUUCUGCGAGGACGGCCAGACUUGGGACCGGGAGAGGUGUGGGGUACUCUCAGGGUAGGGGUAAAAUCCUGUCAUCCUGAGAGGACCACCUGUUGCGAAGGCGCCACACUGGAACGGAUCCGACGGUCAGGGACGAAGCCUAGGGGCACGAACCGGAUUAGAUA